CGGAAUUACUGGGCGGAAAGGGCUCGUAGGUGGCCAACUAAGUCAGACGUGAAAUCCCUCGGCUUAACCGGGGAACUGCGUCUGAUACUGGAUGGCUUGAGUUUGGGAGAGGGAUGCGGAAUUCCAGGUGUAGCGGUGAAAUGCGUAGAUAUCUGGAGGAACACCGGUGGCGAAGGCGGCAUCCUGGACCAACACUGACACUGAGGAGCGAAAGCCAGGUGAGCAAACGGG
RNAcentral lists this ribosomal RNA (231 nucleotides) under uncultured bacterium. Its description in RNAcentral is "partial 16S ribosomal RNA". It matches the Rfam family "Bacterial small subunit ribosomal RNA", at positions 546 to 776 of the family's 1533-position model. The record is from RNAcentral.